CACCCCCCGACCCCACAGACACGUGCAGCCUACAGCCCACAAGCGGCGCCUGUCUCUGUGGAAGAAGGCCAUCCCCCCAGGCGGGGACACGGCCACCAGGACACCAUCCCAAAGACCCCGAGCCUGGCGCUCCUCCUGGAGGGAGCCCCAUGGAAAGGCCUCGCAGAGGCAGUUUCAGCGGCCCGCGCCCAAGUCCAAGCCACCCAGAGACGUCCAGGAGCAGGUCUGCAGAAAGAGGGGCUGGGCGGCCUUGACCCAGAGAAUUAUUGAAACCUUAAAACUGAUCUAGUGGCGACAUGGGCCUCCGUGGCAAGCCGGGGAGCGACUGAUCUGGGCCUGCGGAAUCGUGGGGGAGGGCUGGGCUUGUCUCAAUGAAGCCGCAGCUCGUCAGGACCAGCCCCCAGGAUGGAAGGCAGAAGGGGCCUGUGGGCAAAAUACUUGCGCUGUCUGAGCCUCAGUUUCUGCGUCUGUAAAAUGUGCCGAAAUCUAGUUCAACGUCACCUCUGCCGCUGUGCCUGACAGACGGGACUGGGAUGCCUCUUCCAGUAAAAUCGUCAGAAGCCGCAGAAUAGAGUGGAAGGAAGUGGCAGUUCCGGGAUACCCCCAGCAGCUGCACGCUCUGCCAAGACGGAGCCGGUGACAGAAGAGAGGUUGAACCCUUGUGAGCACCUUUGCCUCCAGCCAAGUCACGCCCCGCUCUCCUGUCCAGCGGGUUUUGUCCAGCUGGAAUUUAACAGCACCUGAUGGCUGACAUCUUUUGGCAAGGAAAGGGCCAGAAGAACAGGCUGGUAGAACCCCCUGGGGAGCCCCCAUGUGCCCUAUAUCCUGCGCUUGCCACCGCUGGCUCUCUGCCUGAAUAAAUCCUUGCUGUGUCACGUGG
Long non-coding RNA from Suricata suricatta (meerkat), 880 nucleotides. RefSeq lists it as uncharacterized. The transcript is spliced from 4 exons. The record is from RefSeq and is a predicted model, not a curated record. Lineage: Eukaryota; Metazoa; Chordata; Mammalia; Carnivora; Herpestidae.